RNAcentral lists this ribosomal RNA (460 nucleotides) under uncultured bacterium. Its description in RNAcentral is "partial 16S ribosomal RNA". It matches the Rfam family "Bacterial small subunit ribosomal RNA", at positions 338 to 795 of the family's 1533-position model. The record is from RNAcentral.
CCUACGGGAGUCAGCAGUGAGGAAUAUUGGUCAAUGGACGCAAGUCUGAACCAGCCAUGCCGCGUGCAGGAAGACGGCUCUAUGAGUUGUAAACUGCUUUUGUACGAGGGUAAACGCAGAUACGCGUAUCUGUCUGAAAGUAUCGUACGAAUAAGGAUCGGCUAACUCCGUGCCAGCCGCCGCGGUAAUACGGAGGAUUCAAGCGUUAUCCGGAUUUAUUGGGUUUAAAGGGUGCGUAGGCGGUCGGAUAAGUUAGAGGUGAAAUCCCGAGGCUCAACUUCGGAAUUGCCUCUGAUACUGUUCGGCUAGAGAGUAGUUGCGGUAGGCGGAAUGUAUGGUGUAGCGGUGAAAUGCUUAGAGAUCAUACAGAACACCGAUUGCGAAGGCAGCUUACCAAGCUACUUCUGACGUUGAGGCACGAAAGCGUGGGGAGCAAACAGGAUUAGAUACCCCAGUAGUC